RNAcentral lists this ribosomal RNA (575 nucleotides) under uncultured bacterium. RNAcentral describes it as "partial 16S ribosomal RNA". It matches the Rfam family "Bacterial small subunit ribosomal RNA", at positions 355 to 922 of the family's 1533-position model. The record is from RNAcentral.
UGGGGAAUUUUGGACAAUGGGCGAAAGCCUGAUCCAGCAAUGCCGCGUGUGUGAAGAAGGCCUUCGGGUUGUAAAGCACUUUUGUCCGGAAAGAAAUCCUUGGCUCUAAUACAGUCGGGGGAUGACGGUACCGGAAGAAUAAGCACCGGCUAACUACGUGCCAGCAGCCGCGGUAAUACGUAGGGUGCAAGCGUUAAUCGGAAUUACUGGGCGUAAAGCGUGCGCAGGCGGUUUGCUAAGACCGAUGUGAAAUCCCCGGGCUCAACCUGGGAACUGCAUUGGUGACUGGCAGGCUAGAGUAUGGCAGAGGGGGGUAGAAUUCCACGUGUAGCAGUGAAAUGCGUAGAGAUGUGGAGGAAUACCGAUGGCGAAGGCAGCCCCCUGGGCCAAUACUGACGCUCAUGCACGAAAGCGUGGGGAGCAAAACAGGAUUAGAUACCCUGGUAGUCCACGCCCUAAACGAUGUCAACUAGUUGUUGGGGAUUCAUUUCCUUAGUAACGUAGCUAACGCGUGAAGUUGACCGCCUGGGGAGUACGGUCGCAAGAUUAAAACUCAAAGGAAUUGACGGGGUCAU